This 301-nucleotide ribosomal RNA is filed under the name uncultured bacterium. RNAcentral's name for it is "partial 16S ribosomal RNA". It matches the Rfam family "Bacterial small subunit ribosomal RNA", at positions 509 to 807 of the family's 1533-position model. The record is from RNAcentral.
CAGUAGCCGCGGUAAUACAGAGGGUGCGAGCGUUAAUCGGAUUUACUGGGCGUAAAGCGUGCGUAGGCGGCUUUUUAAGUCGGAUGUGAAAUCCCCGGGCUCAACCUGGGAACUGCAUCCAAAACUGGCAAGCUAGAGUAUGGUAGAGGGUGGUGGAAUUUCCUGUGUAGCGGUGAAAUGCGUAGAUAUAGGAAGGAACACCAGUGGCGAAGGCGACCACCUGGACUGAUACUGACACUGAGGUGCGAAAGCGUGGGGAGCAAACAGGAUUAGAUACCCCUGUAGUCCCUGUCUCUUAUAC